RNAcentral lists this ribosomal RNA (253 nucleotides) under uncultured bacterium. Its description in RNAcentral is "partial 16S ribosomal RNA". It matches the Rfam family "Bacterial small subunit ribosomal RNA", at positions 524 to 776 of the family's 1533-position model. The record is from RNAcentral.
GACGUAGGGCGUGAGCGUUGUCCGGAUUUAUUGGGCGUAAAGAGCUCGUAGGCGGCUCGUUGCGUCGGCUGUGAAAACCCGCAGCUCAACUGUGGGCUUGCAGCUGAUACGGGCGGGCUGGAGUUCGGUAGGGGAGACUGGAAUUCCUGGUGUAGCGGUGAAAUGCGCAGAUAUCAGGAGGAACACCGGUGGCGAAGGCGGGUCUCUGGGCCGAUACUGACGCUGAGGAGCGAAAGCGUGGGGAGCGAACAGG